Molecule: ribosomal RNA, 442 nt
Filed under: uncultured bacterium
Lineage: Bacteria
Description: partial 16S ribosomal RNA
Rfam family: Bacterial small subunit ribosomal RNA
Source: RNAcentral
CCUACGGGUGGCAGCAGUGGGGGAUAUUGCACAAUGGGGGAAACCCUGAUGCAGCGACGCCGCGUGGGCGAAGAAGUAUUUCGGUAUGUAAAGCCCUAUCAGCAGGGAAGAAGAAAUGACGGUACCUGAGUAAGAAGCACCGGCUAAAUACGUGCCAGCAGCCGCGGUAAUACGUAUGGUGCAGGCGUUAUCCGGUUUUCCUGGGUGAAAAGGGAGCGCAGGCGGCAGGGCAAGCCUGUUGUGAAAGCCCGCGGCCCAACCGCGGGACUGCAUUGGAGACUACCGGGCUGGAGUGCCGGAGAGGUAGGCGGAAUUCGUGGUGUAGCGGUGAAAUGCGUAGAUAUUAGGAGGAACACCAGUGGCGAAGGCGGCCUACUGGACGGUGACUGACGCUGAGGCACGAAGGCCAGGGGAGCGAAAGGGAUUAGAUACCCUUGUAGUC